Molecule: non-coding RNA, 1460 nt
Organism: Lolium perenne
Lineage: Eukaryota; Viridiplantae; Streptophyta; Magnoliopsida; Poales; Poaceae
Source: RefSeq, a predicted model, not a curated record
GAAGGUUCAUGAGUUGAUGUACUAGAUGGAGAAGUACGGUUCAGAAUCUGCAGGAGAGGAAAUUUAGCAGCCUGACCGAACUAAUGAAAUUGUUGCAACACUUGGGUUAUUUUCUGGAGAGGAUGGCAAAGAGGGGGCCCAGAAAAUCACCAGUUCUGAACUACAAGAGUACAGACCAUUGACCAAGGAAAAAGAAGAGGAUUAUAUCAAGCGCGCCAUUGAAUAGUCGCUGCUAUCCCAGCCUGGGCCAUAGCUGUCCCAUGAGCCCUCGAUGUCGCUUGAUUGCUGAAGGCCGACAAGGCCACCGCGCCGAUGGGGUUGUCUUCACCACUGACGACAAUGUUGUGCAUCCAACGAAGGAAACAAUAGUUCAUCCAGAUCCGGGGCCCUCAAUCAAGGGAAGGACAUGGCCAUUUUUUCUUCUGACCAUGAAGACGACUACUGGGGCUAAAGAUUAUCAGGUCGUAAGAAAAGUAUUAAGGAGCUGUCCUACCAUACUGUCCUACUAUCCACUUCUACGCUUUAUUAGUAAAUAUUUGUUCUGUUUUAGGUUUGAGUAAAUCCAUGGCUUGCAGUAAACUGAUAUCUCCCUGACUUCCUGUACGAAUGUGGUGAGUUACAACAAACUCAAAGGAUCAGCAAAUGAGCAGAAUGUGACGAGUUACAUUUUAUUCUCGUGGACCAUGAGGGAAACACAAUGGAAGGACACAUACCAGGCAAACGUACAGAUCAGUUCAAGGACCCCCUAAAAGAAGGUUCAGUGUAAUACCAUAUAGAACUUCAUCUUUGCAGAUGCACGAAAGAAAUACAGGACAACGGAUCAGCAGUAUAGAUUCAAAUUUACUCAGCGCACCAAGGAUGCCAGCUCCACCUCUGAAAAAGAAAAGGAAGGCCAAAGCAUUGGCUACUACACCAAGCAAAAGCAGAUUAACAAAGAGCUCUUACAGCGACAGGUAAACACCAGACUUCAAUACAAUUGAAAGAGCUGCAGCAUCGUUGCCAAGAAAAUGGUAAUUUUAGUCUCCUUUUCCUUUUAGCAGCAAAAGUCAGCCAAAAACGGAUCAGCUUUGCUGAAAAAUCCGAGACAAAAAGAAAUGAAGCAGCAAAGACAAAGACUGAGCGCAUUGGCAGAUUAUCCAUGUUCAGAUACCAUUUGAUAGUCUGCUGCUAAUAUGGUUUCAACAAAUUAUUACCAUUCUCAUUUUCAACAAAAAAAAAAUAGAAGUUUACCCUUCAACAUACUUAUUUUAGUUUUGAAAUUUUGUGUUCCCAGUGUGAGUUGUCAACAAUAACUAAAGAAAACUAUCUACUGAUAGUUUGGGUUCUAUAUAUUCCAGAUUAUCUGUGCUACUCCUACUAUAAAGUCUUGAUUCUGAAAUCUAUAUGCCCAAAUAUCUUAGCUAACUAUUUUCUGUGCAUACAUUGCCUUUUUCAUUCAAAUCACCAUACCUGAACACUAA